CAAGACUUUUGAUCUCAUAUUUAAUGGAUGUAAAUGCAGAUGUGAGCUUAUAUCCAAAGGAAAGUAUGAAUAAAGGUUAUCUGUGAUGCUUAUUGAGCGUUGCAAAGUCCCAGAAAAGUGUGUAGAUGUCGAAACGAAGCAAGAUCCAGUGGCUGCUGUUGGUGCCCAGAAUUGCCAAGGGAGCAACUUCAAGCUCUGAUUUGAUCGUCUUGAAGCUGUUUUUCUUGAAACCUCUCAACGCAAAAGUUUCUCUAAUGAAAUGUAGAAGACGCAGAAACAUAGAAAUCACCAGAAAGAUCUCAAUAGAAGCGGGAAAAUGAUGACGAACAUGACUGGUCGACCAGCCUGUUCACUGUUUUGGAAGAAAACUUUUUUAGGAAGGCAGUUUCAGGCUUCGAUUUGAGGGCUCCGUACU
RNAcentral lists this long non-coding RNA (415 nucleotides) under Coffea arabica (coffee). Its description in RNAcentral is "long non-coding RNA (CARA_LNC004818)". Lineage: Eukaryota; Viridiplantae; Streptophyta; Magnoliopsida; Gentianales; Rubiaceae. The record is from RNAcentral.